Molecule: ribosomal RNA, 254 nt
Filed under: uncultured Cloacibacillus sp.
Lineage: Bacteria; Thermotogati; Synergistota; Synergistia; Synergistales; Synergistaceae
Description: partial 16S ribosomal RNA
Rfam family: Bacterial small subunit ribosomal RNA
Source: RNAcentral
CUAGCCGUAAACGAUGGAUACUAGGUGUGGGUGUCGCAGGGCAUCCGUGCCGCAGCUAACGCGUUAAGUAUCCCGCCUGGGGACUACGGUCGCAAGACUGAAACUCAAAGGAAUUGACGGGGGCCCGCACAAGCGGUGGAGCACGUGGUUUAAUUCGAUGCAAACCGAAGAACCUUACCUGGGUUUGACAUGCAGGUGGUAGAGAGAAGAGAUUUAAUCGACUCUGCAGUAAUGCAGAGAGCCUGCACAGGUGC